This 319-nucleotide small nuclear RNA is filed under the name Ursus americanus (American black bear). RNAcentral's name for it is "7SK RNA (ENSUAMG00000011815.1)". It matches the Rfam family "7SK RNA". From Rfam's summary of the family: 7SK was discovered as an abundant small nuclear RNA in the mid-70s but a possible function has only recently been suggested. Lineage: Eukaryota; Metazoa; Chordata; Mammalia; Carnivora; Ursidae. The record is from Rfam by way of RNAcentral.
GGAAAUGAGGGUGAUCUGGCUGCAACAUCUGUGAUCGCAUUGAUCUCCAGGGUUGAUUCGGCUGAUCUGGUGGCUAGGCAGGUGUCCCCUUCCUCCCUCCCUGCUCCAGGUAUGUCCCUCCUGUCAGUCGAAGAGGACGACCUUCCCCGAUAGAGGAGGACCGUUCUUCAGUCAAGGGUAUACGAGUAGCUGCGCUCCCCUGCUAGAACCUCCAAACAAGCUCCCAAGGUCCAUUUGUAGGAGAACGUAGUGUAGUCAAGCUUCCAAGACUCCAGACACAUUCAAAUGAGGCGCUGCGUGCGGCAGUCUGCCUUUCUUU